Long non-coding RNA from Dendrobium catenatum, 1017 nucleotides. RefSeq lists it as uncharacterized. The transcript has 2 exons. The record is from RefSeq and is a predicted model, not a curated record. NCBI's taxonomy places the organism in Eukaryota, Viridiplantae, Streptophyta, Magnoliopsida, Asparagales, Orchidaceae.
AUCAAAAGGUGGGCCCAAGGGGCCCACCGUGGCUUCCCCCCUGCUCCCCUCGGGUUCGCCCGCCCUCCCUCUCCGGUUGUAGACCCGCUCGGGUCUGGGCGGAUGGACCGGGUGAACCGGUCCAUCAGUUUUCACAUAGAACUCCAACUUCCAUUCAAGGUUGACAUCAAGCUCAAGGUGCUGAUAUAUAACGAGAUUGUAGACUUUGAGAAGUUCAAUGGCUGAUUCAAGCAUCUUGCUAUUUUUCUUUAUAAGGUACAACCAUGUUAAGAAGAUAAACUUCACCAAGUUGAAGUUAUCUGGCCACAUGAUAUAACGUGGAAAGUGGAAAUAAGGAGCUAUUUUUUUAGUAAGGAUGACUAGGAGUAAAUUCAAAUUCGCUCUAAAGAAGGAAUUCUCUCCAUCGACCAAAAGCGAGUUAUCUCUAUUCAAUGGUAGAGGAUGAGACUCCAACAGCUGAUAGAAAAGGGCACCUGCUAUCGCCCCUCCUUCCCAUCUCUUAGUUUUCUUCAUAAAUUGAAAAUCACCAGACAAGGGAGCGGCCCACGCAACGAGAUUUCAUCUUUGAAAAGAUUCAGUUAAUAGAAAUCUCUUCAGGGCCGUGAAUUAAAUGUUUGGACAGCAAAUUGCAAUCGUUGGGAGAGUAAAUUCAACAAAGAGAAGAAAGAAGGAAAACAGAUCUAUCUGCAGGCUUGUCAAUAAUUCCCCGCCUCUUGCAUCCAAUACUUGGAUCGUUUGGCCAAUCUUUGGUUAAUUGAAUUAUUGGGUUUUGGAUAAAAUACUAGCUCAUAAUCAUAGAUUGUUAAGCUUGAAGUCUACUUGUUAGCUUAAACUCUGCUCAGACCUAGUUUGUUUUGUAAUUCUGCUCUUUGUCAAUGCCGUUAUGUCCUUGGUUUCUACUUGUUUUUGUUUCUGGCAGUAGAUGUCAUAGUUGGCACUGAGUAAUUUGUUUUGGACGUAGAAAUGAGUUGCCUGUAUUGUAUAUGAAACAACAAUAAUAAGGUCUUGUCACGUUCC